ACCUUAAUACAGAGAUGCUGUGAAUAUAAAUUUAUAUAAUGCAAAAGUAAGUUUAUUUCAUAUGCUAAUUUAGAGGCUUUCUUAAUAUGUUUAAUUAUAAAGAAAAAAAAAAGCGUUGCAAUUCUUGUUCACUGACCAAUGGCAAAGCAGACACUUUCUACUUCCGGUUGUGGCGGGAUAUUUGUGAAGUCAGCAAUGGCGGUCGAAAAGAAUGGUAAAGUCGCAAAGAAUACUGUUUGUUCGUGGAUUGGCAUUUGUGACUGAAUCCAUCGAUGUUACUAAUUAUUUGAAGAAAUCUGGGAGUCAGCACCCUGCUGAAUUGUAGUAAACGAGACGUCCAAUCUACUAGACCAUCAAAGAUGCAGAUUUGGAUUUUCUAUUUCAUAGUUAUUGAAAUCAUAAUGAGAAUGAAGUACUGCCACUAAGUCGUAUUGGAUAUGUUGCAAGGAGCUGUUUUCAAAACAUUGGGUGACAAAGAAUUCACUUUUACAAAAAUCGAGCA
This is a long non-coding RNA of Stegodyphus dumicola, 502 nucleotides long. The record is from RefSeq and is a predicted model, not a curated record. Lineage: Eukaryota; Metazoa; Arthropoda; Arachnida; Araneae; Eresidae.